Molecule: ribosomal RNA, 492 nt
Filed under: uncultured bacterium
Lineage: Bacteria
Description: partial 16S ribosomal RNA
Rfam family: Bacterial small subunit ribosomal RNA
Source: RNAcentral
AGUGAACGCUGGCGGUAGGCCUAACACAUGCAAGUCGAACGGCGGCACAGUAAGAGCUUGCUCUUACGUGUGGCGAGUGAUGGACGGGUGGGGAAUACAUCAGAAUCUCCUUUUUCGUGGGGGUUAACGUAGGGAAACUUAGGCUAAUACCGCAUACGACAUCCGGGUGAAAGCAGGGGAUCCUCGGCCCUUGCGCGAUUGAAUGAGUCGAAUUCGGAUUAGCUAGUUGGCGGGGUAUAGGCCCACCAAGGCGACGAUCCGUAGCUGGUCUGAGGGGAUGAUCAGCCACACUGGAACUGAGACACGGUCCAGACUCCUAGGGGAGGCAGCAGUGGAGAAUAUUGGACAAUGGGCGCAAGCCUGAUCCAGCCAUACGGCGUGGGUGAAGAAGGCCUUCGGGUUGUAAAGCCCUUUUGUUGGGAAAGAAAAGCAGCAGGUUAAUACCCCGCUGUUCUGACGGUACCUAAAGAAUAAGCACCGGCUAACUUCGUG